This 98-nucleotide non-coding RNA is filed under the name Bdellovibrio bacteriovorus. RNAcentral describes it as "Guanine sequence". It matches the Rfam family "Purine riboswitch aptamer". Rfam says of the family: Riboswitches are metabolite binding domains within certain messenger RNAs that serve as precision sensors for their corresponding targets. Allosteric rearrangement of mRNA structure is mediated by ligand binding, and this results in modulation of gene expression. Lineage: Bacteria; Pseudomonadati; Bdellovibrionota; Bdellovibrionia; Bdellovibrionales; Pseudobdellovibrionaceae. The record is from Rfam by way of RNAcentral.
AUUUCGUUCCCAAAGUUACCGAGUAUAAGUCGAUAAUAUGGUUCGACGUUUCUACCUGCCACCAAUAAUGGCGGUCUAUUUGGAGGGGAAUAUGUUUA